GGCGACGAUCUGUAGCUGGUCUGAGAGGAUGAGCAGCCACACUGGGACUGAGACACGGCCCAGACUCCUACGGGAGGCAGCAGUGGGGAAUUUUCCGCAAUGGGCGCAAGCCUGACGGAGCAAUACCGCGUGAGGGAGGAAGGCUCUUGGGUCGUAAACCUCUUUUCUCAGGGAAGAACACAAUGACGGUACCUGAGGAAUAAGCAUCGGCUAACUCCGUGCCAGCAGCCGCGGUAAUACGGAGGAUGCAAGCGUUAUCCGGAAUGAUUGGGCGUAAAGCGUCCGUAGGUGGUUUUGUAAGUCUGUGGUUAAAGCGUGUAGCUCAACUACAUAACGGCCAUGGAAACUACAUAACUAGAGUCAAGUAGGGGUAGAGGGAAUUCCCAGUGUAGCGGUGAAAUGCGUAGAGAUUGGGAAGAACACCGGUGGCGAAAGCGCUCUACUGGACUUGUACUGACACUGAGGGACGAAAGCUAGGGGAGCGAAAGGGAUUAGAUACCCC
Molecule: ribosomal RNA, 502 nt
Filed under: uncultured bacterium
Lineage: Bacteria
Description: bacterial SSU rRNA
Rfam family: Bacterial small subunit ribosomal RNA
Source: RNAcentral